UGAGAGGGUGAUCGGCCACAUUGGAACUGAGACACGGUCCAGACUCCUACGGGAGGCAGCAGUGGGGAAUAUUGCACAAUGGGCGAAAGCCUGAUGCAGCAACGUGAGUGAUGAAGGCCUUCGGAUUGUAAAGCCCUGUCUUCUGGGACGAUAAUGACGGUACCAAAGGAGGAAGCCACGGCUAACUACGUGCCAGCAGCCGCGGU
Molecule: ribosomal RNA, 206 nt
Filed under: uncultured Clostridium sp.
Lineage: Bacteria; Bacillati; Bacillota; Clostridia; Eubacteriales; Clostridiaceae
Description: partial 16S ribosomal RNA
Rfam family: Bacterial small subunit ribosomal RNA
Source: RNAcentral